AGUGAACGCUGGCGGUAGGCCUAACACAUGCAAGUCGAACGGCAGCACAGUAAGGGCUUGCUCUUACGGGUGGCGAGUGGCGGACGGGUGAGGAAUACAUCGGAAUCUACUUUUUCGUGGGGGAUAACGUAGGGAAACUUACGCUAAUACCGCAUACGACCUACGGGUGAAAGCAGGGGAUCUUCGGACCUUGCGCGAUUGAAUGAGCCGAUGUCGGAUUAGCUAGUUGGCGGGGUAAAGGCCCACCAAGGCGACGAUCCGUAGCUGGUCUGAGGGGAUGAUCAGCCACACUGGAACUGAGACACGGUCCAGACUCCUACGGGAGGCAGCAGUGGGGAAUAUUGGACAAUGGGCGCAAGCGUGAUCCAGCCAUACCGCGUGGGUGAAGAAGGCCUUCGGGUUGUAAAGCCCUUUUGUUGGGAAAGAAAAGCAGCAGGUUAAUACCCCGCUGUUCUGACGGUACCCAAAGAAUAAGCACCGGCUAACUUCGUG
Molecule: ribosomal RNA, 492 nt
Filed under: uncultured bacterium
Lineage: Bacteria
Description: partial 16S ribosomal RNA
Rfam family: Bacterial small subunit ribosomal RNA
Source: RNAcentral